UCUUUUCUGAAAACAAUACAAUGUGCUUAUCUAGAGGAAGUUUUUUUUAAGUGAGAAGAGAGCAAACUAGGUACAUUUAAACAAGUAAUUUCUCAACUACAUUUUUGCUACUUAUAUGUAUUGGUGUAACGGUAGAUCCGUAAAAAAGCAGAAUAUCAUAUGGUUUUAAAAAUUUCUUUUAAAAAUAAGAAGAGUUUAUGUAUUGUCCACAUUUUACUAGCUGAUUUUACAAAUACAAUCACGGAAUAGAUAAAUAAGGUUGGAAUGGUAAUGUAGGCGGGGCAAGCGUGCCACUGUUAUGAUAGAACAAACAUAACUCGACCGAUUCUUUCAUUCACCGCGUUUAGUGCGCUUCGGACUACUUGGCGAACAGAUCUCCGCUUUAUAGUGCCGUGUUGUGCAAUUAUAACUUGUAAAACAAAAAAUCAGACCUCAAGUAUAGAGCGAGGAGGUAUAUCUUUCGAUCGGUUUCCUAAAGAACCUAACGCCAGGGAACAAUGGAUUGACGUGACAGGUAGAGGAAACUGGAGACAAAGACGAGUACUAUUUGCUCUAAACAUUUUACUGAAAAUGAUUUUAUCAUAAAAAAAAUCAGAAUACACUUAGUUUUGAAAAAUUCAUUCGCAAUUAAUAGCAAGCGCCAACUGCUUAACAAAUACGUUUUAUUCCAGCGACAGUGACUAUUUGUAAUUAAUAAAAGUAAAAUAGUUUUUUUUUUCAAUAUUUA
Long non-coding RNA from Bombyx mori (domestic silkworm), 727 nucleotides. RefSeq lists it as uncharacterized. The record is from RefSeq and is a predicted model, not a curated record. Lineage: Eukaryota; Metazoa; Arthropoda; Insecta; Lepidoptera; Bombycidae. The transcript is spliced from 2 exons.